RNAcentral lists this unclassified non-coding RNA (328 nucleotides) under soil metagenome. Its description in RNAcentral is "partial contains 5.8S ribosomal RNA, internal transcribed spacer 2, and large subunit ribosomal RNA". The stretch from base 1 to 120 matches the Rfam family "5.8S ribosomal RNA", at positions 35 to 154 of the family's 154-position model. The record is from RNAcentral.
GAUGAAGAACGCAGCGAAAUGCGAUAAGUAGUGUGAAUUGCAGAAUUCAGUGAAUCAUCGAAUCUUUGAACGCACAUUGCGCCCCUUGGUAUUCCGAGGGGCAUGCCUGUUCGAGCGUCAUUAUAACCCUCAAGCUCAGCUUGGUGUUGGGGCCUGCUGCACUGGCAGCCCUUAAAAUCAGUGGCGGCGCCAUCUGGCUCUAAGCGUAGUAAUUCUUCUCGCUAUGGAGUCCUGGUGGAUGCUUGACAUCAACCCCCAAUUUUUCUAUGGUUGACCUCGGAUCAGGUAGGGAUACCCGCUGAACUUAAGCAUAUCAAUAAGCGGAGGA